Molecule: ribosomal RNA, 434 nt
Filed under: uncultured bacterium
Lineage: Bacteria
Description: partial 16S ribosomal RNA
Rfam family: Bacterial small subunit ribosomal RNA
Source: RNAcentral
AGCGAACGCUGGCGGCAGGCCUAACACAUGCAAGUCGAACGAACCUUUCGGGGUUAGUGGCGGACGGGUGAGUAACACGUGGGAACGUGCCUUUAGGUUCGGAAUAACUCAGGGAAACUUGUGCUAAUACCGAAUGUGCCCUUCGGGGGAAAGAUUUAUCGCCUUUAGAGCGGCCCGCGUCUGAUUAGCUAGUUGGUUGAGGUAAUGGCUCACCAAGGCGACGAUCAGUAGCUGGUCUGAGAGAAUGAUCAGCCACAUUGGGACUGAGACACGGCCCAAACUCCUACGGGAGGCAGCAGUGUGGAAUCUUGCGAAGUGGGCGAAAGCCUGACGCAGCCAUGCCGCGAGAAUGAUGAAGGUCUUAGGAUAGUAAAAUUCUUUCACCGGGGACGAUAAUGACGGUACCCGGAGAAGAAGCCCCGGCUAACUUCGUG